GGGGGCACAAUGCGGUGCUAGACAUGCAGUCGAACGGAAAGGGCACCUUCGGGUGCACUCGAGUGGCGCACGGGUGAGUCCCGUGUGGGUAAUCUGCCCCCCGGUCUGGGACAACUUCGGGAAACUGGAGCUAAUACCGGAUGAGCCCACGAGCUCCUAGGAGCUCGCGGGAAAAGAUGGCCUCUUCUUGAAAGCUAUCGCCAGGGGAUGAGCCCGCGUCGCAUUAGCUUGUUGGUGGGGUAACGGCUCACCAAGGCGACGAUGCGUAGCUGGUCUGAGAGGAUGAUCAGCCACACUGGAACUGAGACACGGUCCAGACUCCUACGGGAGGCAGCAGUCGGGAAUUUUGGGCAAUGGGGGCAACCCUGACCCAGCAACGCCGCGUGAGGGAUGAAGGCCCUCGGGUCGUAAACCUCUGUCGGGAGGGAAGAACGUCCUGCGAGUGAACAAUUCGCAGGGUUGACGGUACCUCCAAAGGAAGCACCGGCUAACUCCGUGCCAGCAGCCGCGGUAAUACGGAGGGUGCGAGCGUUGUUCGGAAUCAUUGGGCGUAAAGCGCGCGUAGGCGGCUUGGUAAGUCGGAUGUGAAAUCCCGGGGCCCAACCCCGGAACUGCAUUCGAAACUGCCUCGCUAGAGUCCCGGAGAGGAAGGCAGAAUUCCCGGUGUAGAGGUGAAAUUCGUAGAUAUCGGGAGGAAUACAGCGGCGAAGGCGGCCUUCUGGACGGUGACUGACGCUGAGGUGCGAAAGCGUGGGGAGCAAACAAGAUUAGAUACCCUGGUAGUCCACGCCGUAAACGUUGAGUGCUAGGUGUCGCGGGUAUUGACCCCUGCGGUGGCCUCGCUAACGCAUUUAGCACUCCGCCUGGGGGGUACCGGCGCAGAACUAAAAUUCAAAUGGAAUGACG
Molecule: ribosomal RNA, 906 nt
Filed under: uncultured bacterium
Lineage: Bacteria
Description: bacterial SSU rRNA
Rfam family: Bacterial small subunit ribosomal RNA
Source: RNAcentral